GACGCAAGUCUGAUGGAGCAACGCCGCGUGAGUGAAGAAGGUUUUCGGAUCGUAAAGCUCUGUUGUUGGUGAAGAAGGAUAGAGGCAGUAACUGGUCUUUAUUUGACGGUAAUCAACCAGAAAGUCACGGCUAACUACGUGCCAGCAGCCGCGGUAAU
RNAcentral lists this ribosomal RNA (158 nucleotides) under uncultured Lactobacillus sp. RNAcentral describes it as "partial 16S ribosomal RNA". It matches the Rfam family "Bacterial small subunit ribosomal RNA", at positions 374 to 524 of the family's 1533-position model. Lineage: Bacteria; Bacillati; Bacillota; Bacilli; Lactobacillales; Lactobacillaceae. The record is from RNAcentral.